ACUUAAUUUUUCCUUGUAUAAGGGGGUUCAAGAGAUUAACCUACUAAAAGCUCUUAAGCGCUACUGGAUACUCUUAAGAUUAAAUGUUACGAACGCGAUUAUGUCUUUUUGGCUGAACCUGUAUAAUUCUCUGGUGAUAUUUCUCUUACCCUUAACUCUUUAUUUUUUUGCAUAUUUACUUUAUGUUGCUAUUUCUAAA
This 199-nucleotide long non-coding RNA is filed under the name Lathyrus oleraceus (garden pea). Its description in RNAcentral is "Pisum sativum (pea) long non-coding RNA (PSAT_LNC018555)". Lineage: Eukaryota; Viridiplantae; Streptophyta; Magnoliopsida; Fabales; Fabaceae. The record is from RNAcentral.